This 45-nucleotide non-coding RNA is filed under the name Schistosoma haematobium. The record is from RNAcentral. Lineage: Eukaryota; Metazoa; Platyhelminthes; Trematoda; Strigeidida; Schistosomatidae.
AUCCAGCUGAUGAGUUGCGAAUAGGACGAAACGCGCGUCAGGGAU